GUGAGGGAUUAGGGAAGAUGGGAAACUGGGUAUCGGGCAAGUAAGGGAUUCGGUGACUCCAGGAGCGUAAGGAGACAAUCUUUACUGGAGCCUUUUUGGGUGCGGCGGAUCGGCGGAGUCCGCAGGCGCAGCCGCGCUUCCCUGCGUCCAUCCUUGGCCCGGAGGGUCCCACCUCCCGGAUUCUCCAACUCUCCACGGCCCCGAGGACCUCCCGGGGGCGCCCUCUUCCCGGGCUGCAGAGUGGCAAGACGAGAACAUGCUUUGGACUGGUUAGGAAACCUCUCCUUGCUUUCCAGAGCUAGGGAGAGGUUUUUGUUUUUGUUUGGAUUGGAUUGAGUUUUUUUUUUAUUCCAUUCAUUCAGGAGCUGCGUGCUGAGUGUCCAGCCUACAAUAGGCAUCGGGAUUUCAGCCGCCUAAAGGGAGGGCAAAUCAGAAGCAAGAAUUGGCAGGCGUAGGUCCUUCUCCAACCGCAGAGGCUUUCCUGAACCGUGAGCUCAGUGUUAGGACUCUUGAAGAUGCGGCCCUGUGAAGGGUAGUUUGUGUUACCCGGAUGAGAGGCAGAGUCAGUGUCCUCAGUCAAGAAACCGCUGUGGAGCCUCUGAAAGACCCAGGCUCCCUGAGAGUGUACAUCCUGUCUCGCUAGAGCUUGGUGAAGAUCAGGCAAGACAAGCAAAGAUUAGGUCUUGCUAGGGCUUGGAUCGCCACUAUCAAAAGAGCGAGCAUUCCCUCUGGCUGCCCAAAGUGCUUUGUUAACUAGAUUAUGGGAAGUGGAAUCUGGUGCUGUUCCUCAAUGGUAGACAUGCCCGAGGCUCUGACUUUGAGCCCCAGCACUGCCAACAAGCCUACAAAUACCUAGGAUCAGAAAGGGCCCAGAGGUGAAGGCAGGAGUGGGGCUGGGGUAACAAGUAGCAUCAAGCAAGUUGUUGGGACUAGAGCAUGGCCGACACUCAGGGAGAAUUGUCACCGAUUGAUGUCUAUUGAGCAGAGAGAG
RNAcentral lists this long non-coding RNA (991 nucleotides) under Rattus norvegicus (Norway rat). Its description in RNAcentral is "long non-coding RNA NONRATT028615". The record is from RNAcentral. Lineage: Eukaryota; Metazoa; Chordata; Mammalia; Rodentia; Muridae.